RNAcentral lists this unclassified non-coding RNA (582 nucleotides) under Hevea brasiliensis (rubber tree). The record is from RNAcentral. Lineage: Eukaryota; Viridiplantae; Streptophyta; Magnoliopsida; Malpighiales; Euphorbiaceae.
ACCCACAUUAGAAGGCUUCAUUUGAUCUAAAAUUCCACAAACUUUUUCAAGAGCUUCUUCUGAUACUGGACCAUUGGUUGAGAAAGACUCUUUGCAAGCAUCAUACAACUUUUGAACUACUGGCAUGAUGCCAAUAAUAAAGCAAAUAACCCACCAGCUAAUCUAAUCACGAAGUAUGAAGAAGCUGACUUGUAGAGCAAAUUCUGGAUCACCAAAAACUCAGUGCAAAAAUUGAUCACCCAAAUCAAAUAACAACUUGGAUUCCUCUAGCUUACAGAUGUGCAAUUAACAGAAACCUUCUCUCUUUUUCAUGAGAAAAUAAUCCAUGCCACAGCCUUUCCCUUGUACUUUCAAGUACUCUGAUUGAUUCCCAAGAAACCAAGAGUCCAAGAUGGUGCAACAAUGAAGUAAAAACCCGUGGAAAUUACUCAAAAGCAUAAAUCCCCAGUUUCCAUUUCGUUUACUUUUAGCUCAGAUUCCUUGGUAACACAUCAGAAUUGAGUGGAAAAUCAGAUACCCAUAAGGGGAAAAGUAGCAAUCCACAUACUGGCAACAGGGAGGGAAGAAAGGAGGAAGCGUCAA